RNAcentral lists this transfer RNA (73 nucleotides) under Endomicrobium sp. Its description in RNAcentral is "tRNA-Val". Lineage: Bacteria; Pseudomonadati; Elusimicrobiota; Endomicrobiia; Endomicrobiales; Endomicrobiaceae. The record is from RNAcentral.
GCCCGGUUAACUCAGUGGAUAGAGUACUUUCUUGACAUGGAAGAAGCCAGAAGUUCAAUCCUUCUACCGGGCA